This 460-nucleotide ribosomal RNA is filed under the name uncultured bacterium. Its description in RNAcentral is "partial 16S ribosomal RNA". It matches the Rfam family "Bacterial small subunit ribosomal RNA", at positions 338 to 795 of the family's 1533-position model. The record is from RNAcentral.
CCUACGGGAGGCAGCAGUGAGGAAUAUUGGUCAAUGGACGAGAGUCUGAACCAGCCAAGUAGCGUGAAGGAUGACUGCCCUAGGGGUUGUAAACUUCUUUUAUAUGGGAAUAAAAUGUUCCACGUGUGGGAUUUUGUAUGUACCAUAUGAAUAAGGAUCGGCUAACUCCGUGCCAGCAGCCGCGGUAAUACGGAGUAUCCGAGCGUUAUCCGGAUUUAUUGGGUUUAAAGGGAGCGUAGGUGGAUUGUUAAGUCAGUUGUGAAAGUUUGCGGCUCAACCGUAAAAUUGCAGUUGAAACUGGCAGUCUGGAGUACAGUAGAGGUGGGCGGAAUUCGUGGUGUAGCGGUGAAAUGCUUAGAUAUCACGAAGAACUCCGAUUGCGAAGGCAGCUCACUGGACUGCAACUGACACUGAGACUCGAAAGUGUGGGUAUCAAACAGGAUUAGAUACCCCUGUAGUC